ACGCGAAGAACCUUACCUGGACUCGAAAUUUUGUUGACAGUCUCAGAGAUGAGAUCUUCCCGCAAGGGACAGCAGAAUAGGUGCUGCAUGGCUGUCGUCAGCUCGUGUCGUGAGAUGUUGGGUUAAGUCCCGCAACGAGCGCAACCCUCACCCUUAGUUGCUCGUCCGCAAGGAAAGCACCCUAAGGGAACUGCCUCGGAUAACGGGGAGGAAGGUGGGGAUGACGUCAAGUCCUCAUGGCCUUUAUGCCCAGGGCUACACACGUGCUACAAUGGCCGGUACAAACCGUCGCUUACCCGCAAGGGGAAGCCAAUCGGAAAAAACCGGUCUCAGUUCGGAUUGCAGGCUGCAACUCGCCUGCAUGAAGCUGGAAUCGCUAGUAAUCACGUAUCAGAACGACGUGGUGAAUACGUUCCCGGGCCUUGUA
RNAcentral lists this ribosomal RNA (427 nucleotides) under uncultured Acidobacterium sp. RNAcentral's name for it is "bacterial SSU rRNA". It matches the Rfam family "Bacterial small subunit ribosomal RNA", at positions 959 to 1385 of the family's 1533-position model. The record is from RNAcentral. Lineage: Bacteria; Pseudomonadati; Acidobacteriota; Terriglobia; Terriglobales; Acidobacteriaceae.